CGAACGCUGGCGGCGUACUUAACACAUACAAGUCGAACGAGGGUCGCUAUGUGAGCAAUCACGUGGUGAUUCUAGUGGCGUACGGGUGAGUAACACGUGGGCAACCUGCCCUGGAGACCGGGAUACCCUCUCGAAAGGGAGGCUAAUACCGGAUACGUUCCCCAGACCGCGAGAUCAGGGGAGGAAAGGUGGCGCAAGCUACCGCUCUUGGAGGGGCUCGCGACCUAUCAGCUAGUUGGUGAGGUGACGGCUCACCAAGGCGAUGACGGGUAGCUGGUCUGAGAGGACGACCAGCCACACGGGGACUGAGACACGGCCCCGACUCCUACGGGAGGCAGCAGUGGGGAAUUUUCCGCAAUGGGCGAAAGCCUGACGGAGUGACGCCGCGUGGGGGACGAAGGCCUUCGGGUUGUAAACCCCUGUCAGAGGGAAAGAAGGAUGCAGGCGUGAUAACCGCCGGCAUCUGACGGUACCUUCAGAGGAAGCCCCGGCCAACUCUGUGCCAGCAGCCGCGGUAAGACAGAGGGGGCAAGCGUUGCUCGGAAUUACUGGGCGUAAAGGGCGCGUAGGCGGGAGGGCAAGUCAGUCGUGAAAUCCUUCGGCUCAACCGGAGAACGUCGGCUGAUACUGCCUUUCUUGAGGGAUGCAGAGGAGACUGGAAUUCCCGGUGUAGCGGUGAAAUGUGUAGAGAUCGGGAGGAACACCGGUGGCGAAGGCGGGUCUCUGGGCAUCUCCUGACGCCGAGGCGCGAAAGCG
This 756-nucleotide ribosomal RNA is filed under the name uncultured soil bacterium. Its description in RNAcentral is "bacterial SSU rRNA". It matches the Rfam family "Bacterial small subunit ribosomal RNA", at positions 30 to 761 of the family's 1533-position model. The record is from RNAcentral.